RNAcentral lists this long non-coding RNA (1177 nucleotides) under Volvox carteri. RNAcentral's name for it is "long non-coding RNA (VCAR_LNC001995)". Lineage: Eukaryota; Viridiplantae; Chlorophyta; Chlorophyceae; Chlamydomonadales; Volvocaceae. The record is from RNAcentral.
ACGGCCAGAGGACAGCAUGCAGGCAAAACAAGAAUAGACAUCAACGGCAAUUUACAGAUGCAGUACAUGGCUCCGAACAGAUCCAUCCGUCUCCCAGCAAGCGGGAGAUGUUUUGGGACAGGAACCCCCAUAUGGACCACUGUCGUCACGGCCGGAGGACAGCAUGCAGGCAAAACAAGAAUAGACAUCAGGGCAAUUUACAGAUGCAGUACAUGGCUCAGAACAGAUCCAUCCGUCUCCCAGCAAGCGGGAGAUGUUUUGGGACAGGAACCCCCAUAUGGACCACUGUCGUCACGGCCAGAGAACAGCAUGCAGGCAAAACAAGAAUAGUCAUCAACGGCAAUUUACAGAUGCAGUACAUGGCUCAGAACAGAUCCAUCCGUCUCCCAGCAAGCGGGAGAUGUUUGGGGACAGGAACCCCCAUAUGGACCACUGUCGUCACGGCCAGAGAACAGCAUGCAGGCAAAACAGGGAUUGUCAUCAACGGCAAUCUACAGAUGCAGUACAUGGCUCAGAACAGAUCCAUCCGUCUCCCAGCAAGCGGGAGAUGUUUGGGGACAGGAACCCCCAUAUGGACCACUGUCGUCACGGCCAGAGAACAGCAUGCAGGCAAAACAGGGAUUGUCAUCAACGGCAAUCUACAGAUGCAGUACAUGGCUCAGAACAGAUCCAUCCGUCUCCCAGCAAGCGGGAGAUGUUUGGGGACAGGAACCCCCAUAUGGACCACUGUCGUCACGGCCAGAGAACAGCAUGCAGGCAAAACAGAGAUUGUCAUCAACGGCAAUCUACAGAUGCAGUACAUGGCUCAGAACAGAUCCAUCCGUCUCCCAGCAAGCGGGAGAUGUUUGGGGACAGGAACCCCCAUAUGGACCACUGUCGUCACGGCCAGAGAACAGCAUGCAGGCAAAACAGGGAUUGUCAUCAACGGCAAUCUACAGAUGCAGUACAUGGCUCAGAACAGAUCCAUCCGUCUCCCAGCAAGCGGGAGAUGUUUUGGGACAGGAACCCCCAUAUGGACCACUGUCGUCACGGCCAGAGAACAGCAUGCAGGCAAAACAAGAAUAGACAUCAACGGCAAUUUACAGAUGCAGUACAUGGCUCAGAACAGAUCCAUCCGUCUCCCAGCAAGCGGGAGAUGUUUGGGGACAGGAACCCCCAUAUGGACCACUGUCGUCAC